This 1014-nucleotide long non-coding RNA is filed under the name Oryctolagus cuniculus (rabbit). RNAcentral describes it as "lncRNA (ENSOCUG00000034978.1)". Lineage: Eukaryota; Metazoa; Chordata; Mammalia; Lagomorpha; Leporidae. The record is from RNAcentral.
AUGAUUUGCCACUUGGAGAGGAUUGAAGCCAGGCAGGAGUAUCUCUCUAGCACUUCCUCCCAGCCAACGAGCAGCACUUGGAAUUCAUAUCCAGGUAUCCUGUCACCAUUGGGCAGGCGCGAGGAGCAUUUUCUGCUUUUUUGGCUUUUUAAAGGUGUAUUUAUUUUAUUUGAAAGGCAGAGCUACAGAGAGGCAGAGGCAGAGAGACAGAGACAAAGAGAGGUCUUCCAUCCACUGGAUCACUCCCCAGAUGGCCACAACGGCCAGAGCUGCGCCUAUCCAAAGCCAAGAGCCAGGAGCCUCUUCUGGGUCUCCCAAAGGGUGCAGGGGCCCAAAGACUUGAGCCAACUUCUACUGCUUUCCCAGGCCACAGCAGAGAGCUGUAUUAGAAGUGGAACAGCUGGGACUGGAACUGGCACCCAUAUGGGAUGCUGGCACUUCAGGCAGUGGCUUUACCCGCUACGUAACAGCACCGGCUUGUUUGUUUGUUUGUUUCUUUUGAAAUAUUUAUUUAUUUAUUUAUUUGAAAGUCAAGGUUACACAGGGAAAGAAGAAGAGUCAGAGAGAGAGAGAGAGAGAGAGAGAGAGGUCUUCCAUCUGCUGGUUCACUCCCCAGUUGGCCACAACAGCUGGAGCUGCACCUAUCCGAAACCAGCAGCCAGGAGCUUCUUCCGGGUCUCCCAUGCGAGGGCAGGGGCCCAAGGGUUUGGACCAUCUUCCACUGCUUUCCCAGGCCAUAGCAGAGAGCUGGAUUGGAAGUGGAGCAGCUGGGAUUUGAAUCUGUGCCCAUAUGGGAUGCUGGCACUGCAGGUGGCAGCUUUAUCCACUACACCACAACCCUCCUACCCCCUGGGCCCCUGUUCUUUCUCUAAGUCUCACCCCUCCUGUAUCACAGGAUCUUAUAACAUGAGGACAUAUUUGGCAGCGUUAUCAAAUAAAGAAUGCAACAGGACUCCAGAAUUGUGUUAUGUGUGUGCAUGUGUCUUCCUCCAAUUUAUAUCUCUGAUGUAUUGA